Molecule: long non-coding RNA, 1138 nt
Organism: Diceros bicornis minor
Lineage: Eukaryota; Metazoa; Chordata; Mammalia; Perissodactyla; Rhinocerotidae
Exons: 5
Source: RefSeq, a predicted model, not a curated record
CGGGAGGUGCGCGAGGCGAGCGGUGGCGCCGGCUUUGUGCUCAGCCACGACCAGCGCUCCGGGGCGGGUCGGGGCGCCUGAAGUGGGGAGGAUUGGCGGCGAGGCGCCGGCUCCAGCAUCUCGCUGCCCCCGGAGAAAGCCUCCGAGCUGAAGCAGCUCAUCCACCAGCAGCUGAGCAAGAUCCCAUGUGUGGCCCAAGAAAACUGGAAGUAGUAAAAGUCAAAUCUCAAAAAAUCACUAUUCGGUACAUUUGGAUAUAAUGUAACUUGUUGCCAUAGUUAUAAUCUUACAGUCCACUACUGUCACCAAGUUGGAGGACAGGAACAUGUGCGAAAAUGCCAGGUGCCGUUCCUACUGAAUCCAUCCGAGGAAGUACCUUUGAAGAGAAGAUGUUUCUUCAAUGGCAAGAACCCAUUCAAACAUAUAGUGUCAUCAGUUUAUAUGAGCCUACUUAUGAAGAGUGACAAGAGGACCCUAGAGCUCUGUGCUCCCGGAUAAACCCACAGCUCCUACCUCAGCCCUCACGUCUCACAUCACUCUGCCUUGAGAUCAUCAGAAUUCAUCUCAUUAUGCCCUUUUUCUCAAGAAGCCCAAUAAAGGUGAAGACCAUUCCAAGAAUUAGGUGCUGAUAGCUGACCAACUCUUUCAGUAGUAGCCAAUUUCUUCAGUGACUGACUGCUGACUCCAGACCUACGACCCAGCCUUCUAGACAAAUCGGGGAAAAGGAUAAAGGACAUUUUGAUGCUCCCAAUAACUGUACACGUACACGAACUGUUCAGUAAGUGGCUUUUUCCUGAUUUUAUUUCUAUUAAUGUUUUCUUUCUGACAUGAGGACGGUGAACCGAUGUUUAUCAAAAAUUCUUAUCAAACACACCAGAAGGAACAAUGCCAUACAGGGAUGCAGUGGGAGAGCUAUUAGGGGCCAAAGAGCUGGAAAUGAGAAGACCUGAAUGAAUGACGAAGAGCCCUGGCAUAGCUCCUGAAGAUGCGAGUGUGAACAUUUCCACUGUAAACCCACUGAACGGAAGACUGGAAAACUGGAUAUUAUAAUUUAUUUAGAACCGAUGCUCAUAGUAUAAAGAAAAAUUCAUUCUGAGGCUGCUUAUUCAUUUUUUGAAUAUAAUAAUUUUUAUCUAAA